RNAcentral lists this ribosomal RNA (492 nucleotides) under uncultured bacterium. RNAcentral describes it as "partial 16S ribosomal RNA". It matches the Rfam family "Bacterial small subunit ribosomal RNA", at positions 29 to 507 of the family's 1533-position model. The record is from RNAcentral.
AGUGAACGCUGGCGGUAGGCCUAACACAUGCAAGUCGAACGGCAGCACAGUAAGAGCUUGCUCUUACGGGUGGCGAGUGGCGGACGGGUGAGGAAUACAUCGGAAUCUACUUUUUCGUGGGGGAUAACGUAGGGAAACUUACGCUAAUACCGCGUACGACCUACGGGUGAAAGCAGGGGAUCUUCGGACCUUGCGCGAUUGGAUGAGCCGAUGUCGGAUUAGCUAGUUGGCGGGGUAAAGGCCCACCAAGGCGACGAUCCGUAGCUGGUCUGAGAGGAUGAUCAGCCACACUGGAACUGAGACACGGUCCAGACUCCUACGGGAGGCAGCAGUGGGGAAUAUUGGACAAUGGGCGCAAGCCUGAUCCAGCCAUACCGCGUGGGUGAAGAAGGCCUUCGGGUUGUAAAGCCCUUUUGUUGGGAAAGAAAAGCAGCAGGUUAAUACCCCGCUGUUCUGACGGUACCCAAAGAAUAAGCACCGGCUAACUUCGUG